Molecule: ribosomal RNA, 320 nt
Filed under: uncultured eukaryote
Lineage: Eukaryota
Description: partial 18S ribosomal RNA
Rfam family: Eukaryotic small subunit ribosomal RNA
Source: RNAcentral
CCCUUAGAUGUCCUGGGCCGCACGCGCGCUACACUGAACAGUUCAACAAGUCUUAACCUUGGCCGAUAGGUCUGGGUAAUCUUUGAACGCUGUUCGUGAUUGGGAUAGACCUUUGCAAUUAUGGGUCUUCAACGAGGAAUUCCUAGUAAACGCAAGUCAUCAGCUUGCAUUGAUUACGUCCCUGCCCUUUGUACACACCGCCCGUCGCACCUACCGAUUGAAUGGUCCGGUGAAAUCUCGGGACGGCGGCUUGGUCGCUUGCGUCCGACUGCUGAAACUUGAUUAAACCAUAUCAUUUAGAGGAAGGUGAAGUCGUAACA